UAAGGAAUAUUGGUCAAUGGACGCAAGUCUGAACCAGCCAUGCCACGUGAAGGAAGACGGCCCUACGGGUUGUAAACUUCUUUUGUACGGGAAAAAACCACCGGUCGUGAACCGGUGCUGAUGGUACCGUAAGAAUAAGCAUCGGCUAACUCCGUGCCAGCAGCCGCGGUAAUACGGAGGAUGCAAGCGUUAUCCGGAUUCAUUGGGUUUAAAGGGUGCGCUGGCGGAAUGAUAAGUCAGUGGUGAAAUCCUACGGCUCAACUGUAGAACGGCCAUUGAUACUGU
RNAcentral lists this ribosomal RNA (285 nucleotides) under uncultured prokaryote. Its description in RNAcentral is "partial 16S ribosomal RNA". It matches the Rfam family "Bacterial small subunit ribosomal RNA", at positions 355 to 636 of the family's 1533-position model. The record is from RNAcentral.